Molecule: non-coding RNA, 75 nt
Organism: Streptomyces sp. C
Lineage: Bacteria; Bacillati; Actinomycetota; Actinomycetes; Kitasatosporales; Streptomycetaceae
Source: Rfam
CUUGAGGGAGCCCAGCCACAGCGGCUGGUCCUCGGGCCGGUCCUGCCCGUACGUGGCGAGGACGGCCUGCGCCUC